This 73-nucleotide transfer RNA is filed under the name Mus musculus (house mouse). Its description in RNAcentral is "tRNA-Arg". The record is from RNAcentral. Lineage: Eukaryota; Metazoa; Chordata; Mammalia; Rodentia; Muridae.
GGAGAGAUGGCUCAGGGGUUAAGAGCACUGACUCCUCUUCCAGAGGUCCUGAGUUCAAUUCCCAGCAACCACA